GUCCCUCUCAUUUUUAAAGGAAGGGACUUGGAUCAAAUCCAGGUUGUCUUCGAACCUACACCCUCGUUGUACAAAAAAAAAAAGAAAAAAAAACAUAGGUAAAAAUUCUCUGUUGCAUUUUUAUGGGUGAUGACGAGCCAGCAGCUGUGUCACUAUCAUGGGAUAAGAUGCUGCCAAAUCACCCUCCAUGUGGCACGGAUGUGAUGAGUCAGCUUCCAAAUCAUACGCGGCUAAGGGCAGAAAGGGGUGCAAUCUGUCAACAUCUAGGGUUUGAGGGUGUGAAGUGUGUAACUUUUUUCUUUGUGGGGUGGGAAAAUGCUGAAAUAACUUAUUUUGGGUGCAAGAUGUAAUUUAAUCCAUUUAUUAUUGAUGUAGAAGAAAACAUUAGCUGCACAGCACUCUUGAACUAGUACAGGCAGGAUGCUAUCGUCUUCCCUGAUGCUCCGCCGCUUCUGCUGCCUCUGCACCGCCGCUUCUUCUUCCUCCUCCCCUGCUCCCGCUUCAUCUCGCACCCUCCCUUCUACCAAGAAGCGUCUCGUUUUCUUGGGUUCACCUCAGGUCUCAGCUUUUGUUCUUGAUUCCCUUUUCAAUGCCUCUUCUGCCCCAGAUUCUUUAUUCGAGAUUGCAGCAAUUGUCACCCAGCCACCCUCUGGAAGAGAUAGGGGUAGAAAGUUGAUGCCUUCUCCAGUUGCGCAACAUGCUGUGGAGAGAGGAUUUCCAUCUGAAUUGAUUUUUACACCAGCAAAAGCUGGUGAGGAAUCAUUUCUUUCCAGUUUUAAGGUUCUGGAACCUGAACUAUGCAUCACUGCUGCAUAUGGCAAUAUCUUACCAACAAAAUUUCUUAAGCUUCCGUCCAUGGAUUUGAGUGCAAUCUUGCAGGUACAGUCAACAUACACCCUAGUCUGCUUCCUCUGUAUCGUGGGGCAGCUCCUGUUCAGAGGGCUCUGCAGAAAAGGACUUCAACAGGAUGGUGUAAGAGAAACAGGAGUUUCAUUGGCAUAUACGGUGCGCCAACUAGAUGCUGGUCCUGUUAUUGCUUGUGAAAAAGUGGAAAUUGAUGAUUAUAUAAAGGCAACAGAGUUACUUGAAUUGCUGUUUGCUCGAGGAUCCCAACUUCUAAUCCGUGAGCUUCCAUCAAUAUUCGAUGGUUCAGCUAAAGCUAAAGCAGUUGCACAAGAUGAAUCUAAAGCUACAUUGGCUCCAAAAAUUACUCCAGAAGAGUCUUGGCUUUCCUUUGAUCAAGAUGCUAGAAUCCUUCACAACAAGGUUGGCCAGGGACCCGAGCAAAAGUUUCAGUACUUGACCCAAAAAGUGGUCAGCAUAAUAUUAUAGAGCUUAAAAUCAUCACUACAAGGGUUUAUGGCAAUAAUGAAAUUCGGAGUGGCCAAAUGGAUGAUAUAUUCUUUGCAAAAGGCUCACUGAUAGUCCCUUGUGGUGGGGGUACAGCACUGGAGGUACUGGAGGUCCAACUUCCAGG
This is an RNA transcript of Sesamum indicum (sesame), 1477 nucleotides long. It is a transcript of the gene named formyltransferase, with no coding region annotated. The record is from RefSeq and is a predicted model, not a curated record. NCBI's taxonomy places the organism in Eukaryota, Viridiplantae, Streptophyta, Magnoliopsida, Lamiales, Pedaliaceae.